AAAAAUUGAAGUUUUUUUAAUUUGUGCAGAAACAAUUAUUUAUAUUAAAGACAAGAAGACCCUAUGAAUUUAUUAAAUUUUUAUUUAAUAUGUAAUUACUAUUAGAAAAAUUUUGGCUGGGGCGGCUAGAAAAUAUUAUAAACUUUUUAAAAAUAAAAUGAUCCAUUAUUAAUGAUUUUAUGUUAAAUACUCUAGGGAUAACAGCGUUAUAUUUUUUGAUAAUCUUAUUGACAAAAAA
RNAcentral lists this ribosomal RNA (238 nucleotides) under Rhipicephalus sanguineus (brown dog tick). Its description in RNAcentral is "partial large subunit ribosomal RNA". The record is from RNAcentral. Lineage: Eukaryota; Metazoa; Arthropoda; Arachnida; Ixodida; Ixodidae.